UAUCGGAUUGAUACUAAGCCAUGCGAGUCAUUGUAGCAAUACAAGGCAUACGGCUCAGUAACGCGUAGUCAACCUAACCUAUGGACGGGAAUAACCUCGGGAAACUGAGAAUAAUGCCCGAUAGAACAUUAUACCUGGAAUGGUUUAUGUUUCAAAUGAUUUAUCGCCGUAGGAUGGGACUGCGGCCUAUCAGUUUGUUGGUGAGGUAAUGGCCCACCAAGGCUAUUACAGGUACGGGCUCUGAGAGGAGUAGCCCGGAGAUGGGUACUGAGACACGGACCCAGGCCCUAUGGGGCGCAGCAGGCGAGAAAACUUUGCAAUGUGCGAAAGCACGACAAGGUUAAUCCGAGUGGUUUCUGCUAAAGAAACCUUUUGUUAGUCCUAGAAACACUAACGAAUAAGGGGUGGGCAA
This 412-nucleotide ribosomal RNA is filed under the name uncultured archaeon CRE-PA9a. RNAcentral describes it as "bacterial SSU rRNA". It matches the Rfam family "Archaeal small subunit ribosomal RNA", at positions 31 to 449 of the family's 1478-position model. The record is from RNAcentral.